CAGCAGCCGCGGUAAUACGUAGGUGGCAAGCGUUGUCCGGAAUUAUUGGGCGUAAAGCGCGCGCAGGCGGUCCUUUAAGUCUGAUGUGAAAUCUUGCGGCUCAACCGCAAGCGGCCAUUGGAAACUGGGGGACUUGAGUGCAGGAGAGGGAAGUGGAAUUCCACGUGUAGCGGUGAAAUGCGUAGAGAUGUGGAGGAACACCAGUGGCGAAGGCGGCUUCCUGGCCUGUAACUGACGCUGAGGCGCGAAAGCGUGGGGAGCAAACAGGAUUAGAUACCCUGGUAGUCCACGCCGUAAACGAUGAGUGCUAAGUGUUAGGGGGUUUCCGCCCCUUAGUGCUGCAGCUAACGCAUUAAGCACUCCGCCUGGGGAGUACGGCCGCAAGGCUGAAACUUAAAGGUGGCGGG
This 407-nucleotide ribosomal RNA is filed under the name uncultured microorganism. Its description in RNAcentral is "bacterial SSU rRNA". It matches the Rfam family "Bacterial small subunit ribosomal RNA", at positions 509 to 917 of the family's 1533-position model. The record is from RNAcentral.